RNAcentral lists this long non-coding RNA (709 nucleotides) under Androctonus crassicauda. Lineage: Eukaryota; Metazoa; Arthropoda; Arachnida; Scorpiones; Buthidae. The record is from RNAcentral.
GGAGAAAGAUGAGAGAGGUGAAUGCAAGAAUUAUAGUGGUAUAAGUUUGCUAAGUGUAGCUGGAAAGAUAUUUAUAAGAUUGUAAUUGAGAGAGAGAAGCAGGUGAUUGAUAAGAGAAUAUCAAAUGUUCAAUGUGGCUUCAGGAGUGAAAGAUGAUGUGUGGACCAGGUUUAUUUCAAAACAUAUAAUUGUGAAGAAAUAUCUUUGUGUAAAGAAAGUAUUCUGUGCUUUUGUAGAUCUUGAGAAGGCAUAUGACAGCAUGUAUAGAAGUAAUCUGCAGAAUAUGAGUAUCUGAGAAUAUGGUGUGAAUGAGCAUCAUCUUGGGGCAAUGAACCAUCAUCUGGUCUAUGCUACAAACAGCAUCCUAUGAUCACUAUUACAAACUCCUAUUAAUAAUCAGUACUACAUAUACAAUAUACAAAGGUGAAUUAUUUUUCGGAAACCGGUUUCCAUUGUUAAGUGGCAACAUCUUCAGUGUUGGUGCAUACCAACCAACAGGCAGGAUUGCUGCAGAGAUAACGUUGAGACAAGAGUAUAUGAUGUUUCUAUGAUUGUUUAAUGUAUACAUGGAUGCAUGGUAAGGGAAAUUGCUGUGAGUGAAUUAGGAGUGAAGAUUGAUGAUAAGAGUGUAUGCUGUCUGUUGUAUGCUGAUGAUAUUGUUCUUCUCUUCAAGAGUGAACAAGGUUUGAGAAUGCUUAUUGCACAGUUG